GGUUAGGUGGCCGAGUGGUUCAAGGCUUCGCUCUGCAAAAGCGAUUUUCGUGAGUUCAAAUCUCACCCUAACCU
RNAcentral lists this transfer RNA (74 nucleotides) under Tychonema bourrellyi FEM_GT703. It matches the Rfam family "tRNA". From Rfam's summary of the family: Transfer RNA (tRNA) molecules are approximately 80 nucleotides in length. Their secondary structure includes four short double-helical elements and three loops (D, anti-codon, and T loops). The record is from Rfam by way of RNAcentral. RNAcentral also lists the same sequence under 1 other name. Lineage: Bacteria; Bacillati; Cyanobacteriota; Cyanophyceae; Oscillatoriales; Microcoleaceae.